Equus caballus (horse) is the source of this 15824-nucleotide long non-coding RNA. RefSeq lists it as uncharacterized. The record is from RefSeq and is a predicted model, not a curated record. NCBI's taxonomy places the organism in Eukaryota, Metazoa, Chordata, Mammalia, Perissodactyla, Equidae.
CAGUACUUGUACUGGGUUGGUGCCCAGUACAACAAUCCUAGUUGUAAAUCAUUCUAGCUUCUUCUGUUAACCACCGCCACAGGAUAGCAACUAACAGACGGGUGGUGUGGUUCUGCGACCGGGAAGCAAACCCGGGCCUCCGAAGCAUUGAGCGCUGAACUUUAACCACUAGGCCAUCAGGGCUGGCUUGAUUUUUACUGUAUUAAUAGAUGUAUAAUAGUAGCUCACUGUUUUCAUUUGCAGUUACCUAAAGACAAAUCAUUUUGAGCGUGUCUUCAUAUGUUUAUUUGCCAUCCGUGGAUCUUCUUUGCUGAGGUGGCUGCUCAGAUCUUCUUCCCUUUUUCAGAUUGAGAAGCUGUCUUACUGUUGAGUUUUAAGUAUUCCUGGUAUGUUUGGCAUAGAAGUUCUUUAACAGAUAGGUGUUUCGCAAAUAUUUUCUCCCAUUCUGUGGCUUGUCUUUUUAUUCUCUUACUUGUGUCUUUUUCAGAGCAGAAGUUUUAAAUUUUAAUGUGAAAUCCAACGCAUCAAUGUUUUCUUUCAUGGUCGUACUUUUGGUGGUGUGUCUAAAACCUCAUCACCAAACCGGAAGUCCCCUAGAUUUUCUCCUCUGUGUUCUUCUAGAAUGUUUAUAGUCUUCUGUUUUACCUUUAGGUCUGUGAUUCACUUUGAGUUGAUUUUUGUGCAAGGUGUAAGAUCUGUGUCUGGACUCCUUUUUUUUGCAUAUGGAUGUCAGAUUAUUCCAGCACGUUUGCUGAAAAGCUUAUCCUUCUACAUUUAAUUGUCUUUGUUCCUUCGUCAAAGCACGGUUGACUCUGUGCUCUCUAUUAUGUUCCAUUGAUCUAUGUGUCUAUAUUUUCACCAACACCUAGCUGUAUGGAUAGCUUUGUAGCUUUGUAAUAUAAAUCUUUGUAGCUUCAUAAUAAGUCUUGACAUUGGGAAGUGUGAGUCCUCCAACUUUUUCUUCAGUGUUGUGUUGGCUGUUCCAGGUGUUCUGCCUUUCCACGUAAACUUCAGAGUCGUUAUGUCGAGAUCUACAAUAUAGCUUGCUGAGUAUUCGGGAGUGUGCUGAAUCUACAGAUCAAAUUGGAAACAAUUAACAUCUUAACAAUCUUGUGACUUUCAAUCUAUUAACAUAGAAUAUCUCUCCGUUUAUUUAGAUCUUCUUUGAUUUAUUUCAUCAGAGGUUUGUAGUUUUCUUCAUAUGUAUUUUCUACAUAUUUUGUUACAUUAACCUGUAUUUCAUUUCUUUGGUACUAUUGUAAGUGAUACUGUGCUUUUCAUUCCAAAUUCCAAUCGUUCUUUGCUGGCAGAGAGGAAAACAAUUAACUUUUGUACCUUGUAUUUGCUAUUGUCACUCUCUCAUUUUAGUUGUCCUAAUAGGUUUGUAGUGAUAUCUUAUUGUGGCAUUAAUUUGCAUUUCUCUGAUGGCUAAUAAUAUGGAAUAUCUUCUCAAGUGUUUAUUUUCUAUCUAUAUAUCCUUUUCAGUGAAAUAUCUGUUCAUAUCUUUUGCCUAUUUUCUAAUUAGAUUGUUUGUUUUAUUACUGUUGAGUUUUGAUGUCUUCGUGUAUAUAGUAGAUAAGAGUUCUGUAUAUCUGUGGUUUGCACAUGUGUUCUCCCAGUCUUUCACUUUUCUUUCCAUCCUUUUAGUGGUCUUUCACAGAUGAAAAGUUUUUAAUUUUGAUGGAGUUCAAUUUAUUGAUGUUUUUCUGUUAGGAAUCUCAUUCUAUGCAUUAUCAUUGAUAUGCUUCCAUAGUUUCAAAAAUCAAAUAUGUUUAGAUGAUAACAAAAUCCCUGUAGCCCUGUCUGACAACUCCGUUGACUCCUCUUCCUCUCUCACACCCCACAUUCAAUCCAGCAUAAACUGUCAAAGACACACCCACGCACACAUAUGUACACGUACACAAAUAUAUACAAAACCAAACCAUCUUUCACGCCCACCGCCCUGUCCAAGCCGCUGUGGACUCCCACCUGGACCUGCUGCCCUGCUCACUCUUGCGUUCUCUUCCCGUCCCGCAGCCAGGAUGGUCCUGUUAAAACCCAAGUCAGAUUAGGUCUCACUUUACUCUUUGCUCAGACUCCCCCAGUCCAUGUUUAGCUCACUCACAGCAAAAUUCGAAGCUCUUACCAUGGCCUACGAGGCCUUCCACAACCUGUGCCCUCCUCUCCACUCUCUCCUCGUCUCCGGUGCUCCCCUUGCUGACUCCAUUCCAGGGGCAUUAGCUUAAGAGCUGUUCUCUGAAGACUCUGGACAUCCUGCAUUGCAUGUAGCCGUUCCCUCUGUCCAGAGGCUCUUCCCUCGGCUAUCUGCAUCGCUCUCUCCAUCACCUCUUUCAGGCUUUUGCUCAUACGCCACCUUCAGAUGAGGCCCACCCUUCCCACCCAGGUAAAUCGAACUCAUGCUGCUUUCAAGCCCCAUAUCCUGCUUUUGUCUCCAUAGCAUUGUUACCUUCUAACAUACUAGAAAAUUUACUUAUUAUGUUUGUUGCUUAUUUUCUUCCCCCACAAAAGAACAUAGGUUCUGUAUAGGUCUGAAUUUUGCCUGAUGUUUUCUCUUGGUUCUGGCACAUAGAACAGUGCCUUAACAAGGCCUCAGUAAAUACGGUCAGUGAAAAACUGACUGAAUCAACUGCCUGUGACACAGGCGUCUCAUAGUAUUCGGAGUUGAACUUAAUGUUUUUCCAAGAUUUUUAAGAAUUCAUAUCUUUAAGUCAGAAAGUUAGGAUGGGCCUCAUCGUGCUGCAGUUGCGUCCUCGCCACCCCACGUUUAACUCCACUAGAGCAGAGCUCAGUGGGCAGUGUUUGCAUGAUCCUGCUGAGGCUCCUCCGUCUCUGGCUGGACCCCGUUCAGUUCUUUCUUUACACAACAGCCACGGAGACUAGAAAUAUCUCUAUAGCUACAUAUCACUGUCACUUUUUUGCUUCGAAUCUUCUCAUGGCUCUCCGUUAUUUUCAAGCUAAUGUCUAAAUGCCGCACGGUGUGUAGGUUGACAUUCCUUGUUUACACUCCAUCCACACCUUGGAUGUCACUGUUCCACUGACUCACACCCUCUCCCUUGCCUGCCUGUCGCGUGCUAUUUCUUUGGCCUAAAAUAGUCCUUUGCCACCUGGUGCUUCUCCUCCUUCUUCAGGUCUCAGCUGCAGUCUCGUAUCCCCAGCUGUAGCUAGAUGCCCCUCUUACCUUCUCUGCAACCUUAACACUUACUCCUUAGGAUGUAAUUGUUCCGUCUUCAUCUGUCUUUCCUACUGUAUUGUAAACUCCUCCAGAAAGAAUGUCUUUCACCUCCACAUGCCCACGGCCUAGUGCGGGGUCCAGCGUGGAGUCGUCAUUCACUAAUGUUUUAGUAAAAUAUUAUGUGAAGAGCAGAGGUCAGUGCCUACUGCCGGCCUCUUUCCUCCAUCUGUAAGAUGAGUCUCCUGGCUAGUGAAAUGCUUUAAGAGGAUUACAUUUUCAGCGACUUGGGGGUGGGAGAGACACAGCAUGGACUUUGGGGUCAGCUCAGCUUGAAUGGAAUUGGAACUCUUGUGGUUUGGUAUCUGCAGUGGUGUAGACUAGAGCCAUCUGUCUCUGGUAUCUGGCAUUGGUCACUAAUUUGGUGACUUCAGGCAAAUUAGUUGCGAUCUUUGUGCCUAUUUCCCAUCUGUAAAUGUGAAUAUAAUAAAUAUACAUGCAUCCUAGAGCAGUUGUCAGAUUUUUAGUUUUCUUUAUAGUUAACUAAUUUUAGCUUUUUUCUCCCAAAUAGUACCCCUCCAUCCUUAUUCUGGAAAAGGAAGACAUGUACUCAGGGGUCCUUGUGCUUUUUUAAAACAGAAUGACAAGAAUUGCUCAGUCAUAUGUCACAUCCUAGGUCUGUAAUUGUCCUUGGUGUAUGUGCAGAUGUGUGCCCUCUUCCCUCACUUGCCCCGGCUCAGGAACCUGGAUGCUGCUGGCUCCAUACUCUCCAGUGAGUGUGAGUGUGAGUAAGUAAUUUGCCUAGGUCUAAAUUAAAAGAAAAAAGUCAAAGAAGAACUUGCCACAUUAAAAAAGACUCAGCGUGUAGAGUCUGGAUUCCUAGUGUGCACCAGGGAUGAGCCAGCAACUCCAAGGUCAGAGAGGCGGGUGAGAAGCGGCAGCUCCACCAGGCAGGGCCGCGUCACCUGCCCUCCCUCCCCCCACCAGCCAACUGCAUCCUGGGCCACCGUUCCCUACACUCAGGAUGCAGUUUGAAUGGUCGCUUGUGGCCAUCAAGUUGAGCUACUUUCCAGACCCCAUUAGGUGGCACACAGUUAAUUCUCUCUUCGCAUGUUACCGUUCAUACAAGUCAAUAUUUUCUCCACACAUGAUUUACAGAACAAAGACACAUGAGAAUUAUGUAAAGAAACAAUGACAAGGCUUUACUCCUGAGGCCGUGGAAGACAGACAAGGGUUUCAGGAGGAAACUGGGGAAGGGGAAGGGGCAAAUGCAGGCAGCAGUGGGCAUCGCAGCUGCUGUGACUGGUGGGAAAUGGGCCGAGGGCCUCCUCCUCCUGGGCUGAGGCCUCUCUGACUGCGAGUCUGCCGGGCUAACAGCCUCCAGCCACCCAAGCGUGGGGGCAGGUCUUCUGGGAAGGGGAUGGGAAUAGAAUGCUGUCCCUCUGGAGAGAGAGCUGACUGACUUGGUGGGGGGAGUGGGUCCCUGAGUGUAUCCUCCCUCAGGGGCAGUUCCCCAGGGAAGGCUGGUUGCGCGAUCUCCCACAGUCCUCCUCAAAGGUACCAGUGAGGAACACGCGCCAAAACCUGAGGGCCCCAGGAAUGCAACCUCCUCUUACAACCAGACUGGGCAAGACAAAGGAUUAGGGAGGCUGAUCCCCCAGCCCCUUGCAAAGAUGCCAGGGGGAGAAUCAUGUCUUACCUGCCCUCCAGCAGGUCACCUCCAGGGAAAGGCACGAGGCAAGUUCUACCUGGGCUUGCACUGGAAACAGGCCAGCUCAGGGUAGGCAGGUUGGCGAUGUGUGCAUGCCUCUCUCCAGGCCCCACAGUGGAACUCUUUCACGGCCGCGAGCGGACUUUCAUCUGGUCUCAUUCUGCCUUUUUGCCCCAAUGCUUAGAGGUCUUGGAGCUCCAGCUUGCUAGGGGAAUGCAGAGAUCCGGGGCAGAUUCGCAUGACCAAUCAGGUGGGCCUGGUGGACAAGUGUACGUGGCUGUUUCUAGAGGCAGCUGUUCUCUCAGACCAGCGUUCAUUUCCUAGAGCCUGGGAACUUGGAUCCUGAUCCAGAGGAGAGUGAACUGGUUGAUGGCCCAACAGUUCUGCCCCAACAAAGCCCUGAUGAGGUGAUGAGGGAACCCCAGAGGCAAGACGGCUGCUUGCUUUGCCUGCGCCAGAGCCAGGGUUCUGGGCGUAAAGGCUGCCAUGGAUGCGCAUCUAAGCACAGCCUCGCUCUCCGUGGUGCAGGGCCUUCCACUGGCAGCAAGAGGCUCCGCUGGAUGGGCCCUGGGCUCUGACUGAAGGUAGGGACGUUAGUGCUUUCAGACACAGGAUUCUCCUUGGGGGGCUGGGCUUCCUGAUCAACAUAGAGGGAGUCUGGCUUGGGCGCCCCAGGUGUUCAGGCCCAGACUUCCCCCAUGAUUGUGGCACUGGAGGCCUCUAUCGUUUCCGCUCCAAAGCUGAGUGCUCCAGUGGUGGAGCUCAGACGUGGGGCAGCCUCUCUGCUCCCCAAGCCCAUCGGUGCUGCUGAAUCUCCCAGCCUGAGGGGUGGAGCUGUGCUGCCAGAUGCUGAGCAGUGCUGCCAAAUGUUAGGCCUAACAUUGCUCACACCACCAGGUGUGUAGGUGGCAGCUGUAAAGCCAGCGGCACUGUCCAUCAUGUCAGAGGGGAAAACAGUUUGAGGGCCACUAAAGGCUAGCUGUCUGCUGGCAUGGGUGCCCUAGGUGGAAGUUGCGGCUGAUGAACCCUCAAAAGCUGACUGUGUGGUGCUGGCCAAACUGGCUGGCCUGGAGUAGAGGUGGAGGCUGGGACUAGAGCUGGAGCUGCGAGGUCUCCAAACUGGGAGGAGCUGUCCAAGGUGGUAGCUUGGUGCUACUGCCCAUCAGGGGCUCCAACUGUGGGCUGAGUGGGGUGCUGCUCCAGAGCCCAGGGAAAGCUGAAAUGUUGGGAUGGGGCCUGAGACGCUCCAUGCAGGGUGGUGGUUUCUGUGGCUGAGGCAGCAUGGCCACUAGAGGGUGUCUGUCAGGCCUGGUCAGAUGGAAAGAAGCUCGCACUGGAGCCAGCGGGAAGCCCCAAGAGGAGAGUGUGGGAAGGUGGAUGGAUGGCCCUAGGUGUGGCCUGAAGGUCACAAGCAGGCUGGGAGCCGAGCCUGCAGAUUUGCUCGCUGAGGGGCUGGAACUAACUUCAGAAACAGCAGCUAGCAGGCCGGUGGGGAGAGGAACACUAGGAUCAGUAGCUGGAGAGGGAGGGGUCUGUGAGAAGGAGACAGGAGAAUCCACGCACGUGCUUAUAGAGGACUCUGCUCUGUGUAACAAGAUUCACAGGAGGAUUGAGGUGCCGGGGACAGGGGGAAGGUGGAACUGGAAUCUGCUGCAGCUGUGCCUGAGGCGUUGGGGUACAAAGGGCCUCCUUCCUUCCCCUUCAGAGGGCACCCCCAGAUGGGCUUGGACAGAAAGCGAGGAAGAUACUCAGCAGCAGCUGUAGGAGUGGGCGACUCAGGAAUUGAGCUGCUCAUUUCACAGUUCAUCAGUGGGAUGGAGGAGGAAUCAGGGACGGGAGGGUCUGGGGCCUAGCAGGCAGGCCAGCGAGAUCGUGUCUGAAUAAUGCAGGAGGAGCAGGGGUCAGCAAGGGGAAAAGAGCUGAGGGCCUAAGUGUGAGGAGAUGCCUGGAAGGGGCUCUGACAGUGAGGAGAAGACGGGGUCUGGUGAGCUCCAGUCUGAGACAGACGACCCAUAGAGGUGGCUGCUCCAGCAGGUUCCAGGAUGGCCACUGAGCCUCAGGAGUCCUGCUGCUGCUUGCGUCUCUUUAGCUGAGGGCUAGAGGGGAAGCUGACGGAGGAGCGGUCCUCCAUCAACAGACAGGGAAAGAAAAAGCUGCGAGACACUGCAGUCCAGACGGCCUCAGUCUCGUCCCCAGGCCAUUGCUGAUGCGCUGGCACGCAGCUUCCUUCUCCAUGUCCAGGUCCACCUAGCUGGGGCGGACGGGGAGGGGUCAGAUUAGGAGGUUCCCCUCACCUUGGUGGCAGCAGAGGAAUUUUGCAUUUAUUGGAUAUAGAACUGUCGGGUCUACAGCUCCUGGUGUUUGUUUCUGCCCUGAGGUGGCAUCUGAAACCUUUACACUCUGGAUCUCCUCUGUGAUCCCACUGAAUCUGAGGAGCUGGACCCAUGGCCCUCCUUCCUGUGUGGACCCCUCAGGCAGCAGGGGGUGUGAGGUGGCUGGACCCUUCUCCUCUGCAGUGGCGGGAAACCGCGAGUGGAGCUGUAUGAGUUCGUAAUAGCCUUUCAUUUGAUGCAUGAGGUCCUAAGAAAGAUAUGGGAUUUCUUAAUGGAAGUGUCUGCUGAGCUCCUGGAAUAGAGGUGUCUCUUCAAUGGCCUAGGCCUGGGCUCAAAGCCAGAGAGGCCUGCACUGACCACGGGGGGCCUAAAUACGGACUGUAGACUCCCAGCGCUGUGGGGGGGCCCCUUCUCGGAUUGUCCCGCUUCUCCCUGUCUGCGGGGUAUUCCUCCUGUUUCACUAUUCCUCUCCCACUCUCUCUGAGGUCCCUCAAUAUCGUCUCCUCUGCGCAAGGGUCUAGGGGAUGACUGGAUGUUCCAGGGGGCAUCGAGGGGACUACCUCCUCCUAUUCCAAACAGAGAGUCAGUUUGCCCCCUAGGUAACUGAGCUGCAGGACGUUGUGGAGUUUUGAGCAGACAGCACCCACUUCCUUUGAUUUCUGUGUCAGGACACUGAAGCAAAGACCCCAGAAAGGAACACGGGGUCUGCAGCAUCCAACGGGAUGUAGUUACUGGAUGCUGGCAGCACCGUCUGACAGUGUUCUGGGGCAGAGGCAGACAGAUGAACUCAGUGGACAGGGGCAGAGCCCAGGCCCCUGUGUGGGACCUGUGUGUCCCAGGGGGUGGAGCGGUGGCAAGGACAGAAGCUUGCCCAGGUAAGGUCUCAUGAGGAGCAGUUCUAUAAUGUCACAGGGCAGGAGAGUUCUUCCUGAGCUUCCCACUGGGCCAGAGGCAAAGCUUGCUCUGCUUGGCGUGUUGCUAAAGAUGCAUAUUUGGAACGUGCGAGCAAAGACAGUAAGGGUGAUCAAAGUGCAUGAGGGGAAGGGUGCACAUGCGCAGAAUGCUCAGGGAAAUACCCCCCAAAGCGGGGCUCAGCUUCCCUGUGCCCUCUGACUCUUCUGUGGCUCCUGCUGCUGAAGGGAGAUGGGCUUAUUGGGAGGGCCAGUGGCUCCUCCUCCACUCGGUCCCAGUGCCCCAGGGGGAUUGUGCAGGACAGGGAUUCUUGAGGCUGCAGAGCGGGGACCACUGGGGAGUCGGGCUCAGGAUCUUUAGUGCUGGCCAGAGGUGGCAGCUCUGAGGUCAGCAAUUGUGUGUCUAUCUGUCCUUUCCCCUGGGGAUACUGGAGGAGAGAGCUGCUCAGAACAGGAGUAAGGAUGCCACUCAUGCGUGGGGGCCAUGGGGGCAGGCUGUGAAAGACAUACUUAACACUGUGACCCAACAAUCCUACUAGGUAUUUACUCAGGAGAAAUGAAAAUCUGUGCUUGUACAAAAUCUGCCUGUGAAAGAUUUUAGCUGCUUUAUUCAUGUUUCUUAGAUAAAAGACUAUUCAGGUUAUACAUAUUUUAUUGAGUGAGUAUAUAUGCGUGAGAGUAUGUUUAUUAGUGGUACCCCAAGGAUAACAAAUUGUUUAUCAAACUUUUCAAAGUCCAAUUAGAGUUAGUAUUUUACCAUUUCAGGUAAAACGUAGAAACCUUAAAACCAUAUAGAUUGUUUACCCUUCCCUCUUUAUAUUAUGGUUGUCUUAUGUUUUACAUCUAUAUGCAUUGAACCCUCCCCCACACACAGUGGUAUAAUUUUUGCUUUCAAAGUCAUAUUAACAUUCAAAGAAUUUAAGAGGACAAAAAUACGCUAACGUAUUUAUGCAAAUAUUUACAUUUCCAUUGCUCUUCCUUUAUUCUUGAAGUUUCAAGCUUUCUUCUCGCAUCAUUUGCCUUCAGUCUGAAAAAGUUCCUUUCUCAUCUUUUUAGAGGUUGGCUGAUAAUGAAUUCUCUUAGUUUUCCUUUAUGUGCAUCUGCGUUUAUUUUUCUUUCAUUCAUUAAGGAUAUUUUUGCUGGAUAUAGAACUCUAAGGUUGAUAAUUCUUCUGUUUCAGGAUUUUAAUGAUGUUGCCCCAUUGCUGGCCUCUGUGGAUUCUGACGAGUAAUCCUAAAUUGUUCAAAUUGGCUGUCUGUGUAUGUAUGUAUUUUUUUUCUCUGACUGCCUUCAAGAAUUUUUCUUCAUCUUUUUUUUCAGCAGUUUGAAUAUGAUGUGUUAGAGUGAGGUUUUCUAAGCUUCUUGAAUCUUUCACCAAAUUUGGGAGGUUUUCAAAUAUUUUUCUCUACACUGAACAUUUCCCCCUCUUUCUGGAACUCCAAUGAGAUGAAUCCUAAAGCUUCUGAUAACGUCCCACAGGUCUUGGACACUUUAUUAAGUAUGUGUAUGUGAAUAAACACUUUAUUUUGGAACAGUUUUAGAUCUAAAGAACUAUUGUAAAGAUUGUACAGAGAGUUCCCAUAUACCCCCAGCCUAGCUUCACCUGUUAUAAAUGUCUUACAUUGGUGUGAUACGUUUGUCACAAUUAAUGAAUCAAUAUUGACAUAUUGUUAUUAACUAAAGCCAAGACUUUAUUCAGAUUUCUUCAUUUUUCCCCUGACGUCCUUUUUGUGUUCCAGACUCCCACCCACAAUGCCACAUUACAUUUAAGAGUCUUGUGUCCUUACGCUCCUCUUGGUAUGACACUUGUCUCGUUUGUAGUGACCUAGAAACUUGUGAGGAUUACUGUCAGACAUUUUGUGGAAUGUCUCUAUUGGAAUUUCUCUGAGGCCUUUCUCAUAAGACUUGAAUAAUAUGUUUUUGGGAGGAAGACCACAGAGGUAAAAUGCCAUUAUCAUCACACUGUGUCAGGAGUACACUAUUAACAUGACAUCACUGUUGACAUUGACCUUAAUCGCCUCGCUCGAGGUAGAUUUUAUAAAUAUCCUCCACUGGAAAGUUACACCUUUUUUGACUAUUUCCUUACUGUACUCUUUAAAAGAAUGUCUUUAUGCACAAUUAAAGAGUGGGGAAAUAUGCUCCACCUCUCUAAGGGCAUGGUAUUUACAUUCAUCUGCAUGGUAGGUUUGUCUUUUUUCCUCAUUUAUUUGUUCAAUCAUUCAUGUCAGUAUGGGCUCAUGGAUAUUUAUUUUAUACUUUGGGUUAUAGUCCAAUAAUACUUUAUUAAUUUUGUUACUAAAAUUGUUGCACCUUUAGCAACUGGGAGGUCUUUUAGUUUGCUCUGUAUCUCUUUGAUAUAUCCCCAUCAUUGAAAGUUGUUUGUUUUGAGUCCUUCUCAGACCUAAAAGUUGCUCCAGCCUCCUCUUGUGUAUUUCCUGCCCCAUUCCUGGAAUCAGCCACUUAUCCAAGGAGCCCUGGUUCCUUUCAUUGGAAAGCACUAUUAGGAACCAAAGUCUGGUUGCUGGGGUGCUCACUGUGCCGUGUUGCUUCCAGACCCACUCAGUGGACAGAGCAAGGAGAUAUAUAUGUGUAUACUAACACAUGUAUAUACACAUAACUAUACAUAUUUUUAUAUCUAACCAUCUCUAUCUAUAUUAAGAUAAACGUGAGUUCACAAUUAUGUGGCUCUGUUCACUUUUGUUGAAUAUAUUUUUCUAUCUGUUCUUCAAAUUGUAUCAUUUAUAUUGAUCUAUCUUCAAGUUCAGUGACUUCUCCCUUCUCCAUCCUGUUAUUGAGCUCAUCAGUGAAUAUUUCAAGUAUUGUAUUUUUAUUUAUAAAGUUUCCAUUUGCUUCUUUUUCACAAUUUCUAUUUCUCUGCUGAGAACCUCCAUCUUUCCAUUCAUUUCAAGAAUAUUUACCUUUACUGCAUUGAGCAUGGUCUUAAUAGCUGCUUUGCUUGAUAAUUCCGUAUCUGGGUCAUUUUGAACUUGGAUCUGUUGAUUGUCUUGUCCUUUGAGAAUUGAUUAGACUUCCCUAGUUCCUGGUAUGUUAUUUUGAGUAGUUUGGGGUGGUAUCCUAGACAUUUUGCGUGUAAUGUUGUGAAACUGUGCAGAAUGAUAUUUUAUUUGAUUGUUUUAGGAAGCAGUCGACGCCGUUAUGCUUAGACUGUGUGUUUUGCUUGCCUUCUGUUGGCGGUUGCUCCAGUCUCGGUGCAGUUUUCAAGACUUGGCUCUGCUGUUUGUGUCCACAUCUUGCGCACAUCACUCAGGGGUUAAUCUGGGGCUCGAGUGGAGGUUUAUGUUGUGGUUCACUUCUCAGAGACUUGGCUCUGCUUGUGUGGAUCUCUUCUGUGCAUGUGCUGCUCCCUGUGAGCCUGGGACUCUGGUUAGUUCAUACGCAGGUGUAAGUGAUGCCCUUUUCCAGUUCUCGCCUCUUCAGGAUUUAUCUCCAUUCUCAAACUUGCAAGGGCCUCUUUCACAUGUUCCUCUCAGUAUUUAACCCUUUGUGCUGUCAUGCGGUUGUGACCAGGUCAGCCUUUGAGGUGACAGAGCUAGCCAGAGCAGAGAGGCAAAAUCACUGGGGAUUUCCCCCACACUCUUCAGACAGCGAGAGGCCCUUCACCUCUUCCUUGGCCAGAGACGCACGUAAUCACUCAGGUGCCUGUGCCCCUGCUGAAACUGCAGUCCCCGUCAUAACCGGCAUGGUCUUUGGGGUGGGCCAAGAGAGUAAAACAAAACGAAAUGAAACAGGGGUAGGCCCCACUCCCCAACACACAGAGGCACCCCCUCCCUGCCGUCUGGCUAGAAAUGGGGGGGUUCUCCCAGUGGUUUGCUUCCAGUGCCUGCUGUGCAGUCGCAGGAUUCCACCUGCCCUCGGGUGACAGCAAGGAGAUGAAGGCGGAAAAGCAGCCACUGUAAUCGCCCCUUACAGGUAGUUAUUCACAUUUUUACUUUGGUCCCCAUUUGUCUAGUAUUAUUUGCUUUUUCACUUCUCUGCAGUGUUUUAUUUGUAAUCUGCAAGAGAAAUCAUUCGUAAGGAUCUUGCUCUACUUUGGCUGGAAACAGAUGUUUGUAAUCGCUUCAAAAAUAAAAUUUUUUAUAAAUACACAUGUAAGAAAUGUUCUACAGUUAUAUGUAAAUAUUUUAAAUGCUACCAUUGUACACCAAAAUGUUAUUAGUGCUUGCCUAUAAAUAAGUCAUUCAUUUUGUAAUUUUCUGUAUUUUUCUGUAUUUUUGUGAUUAUCUGUUUUAAUUGUAUCAUUAAAAAAAAACCUCAAAGCAAUUUUGACUUCAGAUCUCCAACAAUUCCUAUGUAACCACAAUUUAAGUGUUUUGACCUGAGCAAAUAGAAUACUUGAAAAAGGGAAAAUGUGGAUUUCAGAUGGUGGCAGGGAUUAAGUCCAGCAAGAGAUGUCCUUGCAAAAGUUAGCAGUAGCUCAAGACUCUCCAGGGCAUUCAUGGCAGGAAAUCAAAGAGAAUCAGCACAUUCAACUCUAGAAAAAUACAGCAGGCUCACCCCAAUAUGGAUAGUUGAAACCAGGACAACUAGAUAUACUUAAGAGAAAAUAGUGCUUUACAAGGUUGAGAAAGGCAGAAAUGUAAAAAAAUAUUGAAUUAUGUGCAGUAUGCACAAUGCACCCUCCUACUCUUAAUACAGGAAGAAAUAGAAUGAAGAUGUGUCCUCAAGGCUAGUGCUUGUGUGCCAAUAUUUAUCAAAAUAAGGUCUUUAACUCCACACGUAGUUCAUUUUAGGCAUUUUCCAUUCUUCUCAAAAUAGUUGGAGAUAGUUAUUCUAAGGGUGUUUCAACUUCUAGAAAUAGAGAUCAUUGAAAAAGUGAAAAGAAAGAUAAAAUAAUUUUUUCCUGUCUUGACAAAUAGUCUCCAAUAUAAGAUAUACCCAUAAAGAUAGGACUGGGAACUUCAAGAUAUGGGUACUAACACGACCAUAAACGGAACAUCUUGUGUUGAAACACAGCACGUUGGAUGAAUAGGAGCACUUUAUUUAGAAUAUAGGUUAUGUGAGCACCUACAAACCCCGUCUGUAGUAGGAAUUUCCUUCGUUGCUUUUGGAUUCAGAAAGCGAAGGUGCUGAUGUACCCUCCACAGGAGGAGAUAAGUUGCCAGUGCUCUAAAGGAAACACUGCGAAGUUCAGAGACGUGGGCGUGUCGGGUCCUGGAGGGCAAAGGUCUAUCUCUCUAGACACCUGCAGGGGCUUGACUUUCUCAACUUGUGUUUCCUAGCUCAUUCUUUGUUGAUAGCACCUUCCUAAUCUUUGAUUUCUGCUUUUAAGGAUCUUUUAAAGCUGUAUGUCCUUCCUUUUCAGCUUCACAUUUGGCAGCCAUUUUUACCUCCAGGUAAAGCUUGAUUUACUUAAGUUAAUGUUAUAUUAUUCUCAUUCUAGCAGAAUGAAAAAAUCUAGAGUUAUUGUUAAGACACUUUUCAUUUAGCAUGACAUCUUGAAAGUUGAAUUACAAGUUGUAUUUUCCCAGGAGAAACCAUGGUAUAAAUAGGUGUUGAAUUCCAAUGUCAAUCCUUAAAACCCAUUUAGCCCAUAAACUCCCCUCUGCUUUUACAUAAUCGCCAGGUAGUUUUAAACAUAACCAGUAAAUGCCAUUUUAGAAGAAAAAUGUAGGAGAAUAUCUUUAUCACUUUGGAGGUAAAGAACUACUUAUUAAACCAGAUACAAAAAGCACAAUUAGUACAAAGACCUGCUAUUCAUGUUCCACCAGACUUCUUGGGACUCAGAGAGCCAGAUCCCAAAUGAUGACAAUGACUAUUUAUCCCCCAAUAGCAAGUUUUAAAGAGGAGUCUGGGGCUUAGAGAGUUGAAGCACCGCUUUGCCAAAGUUUCACAUCCGCAAAGGGACAUCCCCCGAGGAUGCCCUGGGUCCCCGAGUGCUCACCUGCAGCACCUUCAGCACCCUAACUUCUUGGUCCAAAACCUGCUCAUCACGGAAGCACUGAUCCUCCAUGAGCUGGGGAAUGCUCUGCCCGGUGUCCUCACUUCCCCCUUCCAGUCCCCCUGGGGCUGAAGGCUCUGCUCCAGGAGGGUGUCCAGCCUCUAUGCAGGGGUCUCAUCCAGGUCCUGGGAAGCUCCAUCUCUGCAGGACCAAGCUGCCCUUAGAAUAAACCUUCUUUUUUUUGAAGAGGGCACCUUCUAACCUUUCUCCAGAAAACUAACAGUCUAGAGAGGGGGAAGGAGAGGGAGAGAGGGAUUUAUCGUCCUCCCCACGGGAUGAAGGGCUGGGGCGUCUUCCCUGCAGCACGUAGCUCCCUUGCCUGGGCUGCCUGCACUCAGUAGCCAGCCUCCUUACUGGUGCUCCCUGCUCUCUUGACAUUUGGAGAUUGAAAUUGAAUUUGUAGAGUUGGAAUUUUCUCUUUCUAUUCAAGGCUGCCAAGAAAAAAGCCCAGGAGUUGGAGGCCUCCCGCGGGCUUCCCCACAGGCUCUCAGCCCGGGGAUUUUCAAGUGUCCUGGAGCUGGCCUCUCCCCUCUCCCCAUUUCCUACUGCGUGAGGAGGAGACUUUGACCCCUAAGGCAGCUCUGGCAGCUGGAGAGCAUCUGCUCCUGGGGUGGGAGCCGCUGGCUGCCUGGAGUGAGGGAUGCGGAGGCUCCACCUGAGCCUGGGGCCUGGGGCCUGAGACUGAAUGAUUUCUUUAUAUUUGAAAACAAGGCAUCUACAACUAUUAUUGCUUGUUUUGUUCCUUAUUAUAUGAGUAAUCCAUGUUCAUGGUGGAAAAAUUAGAAAGUGCACAUGUACAGAAUGGAGAAAAUAAGAACCAUCGGUAUAAUGCCUUCACCAAGGACCCUGACCAUUUACAUUUGGGCAUGUUCUUCCAUUCUUAUUUCUAGGAAAAGUGGGCUUUUUGCUUUUCCCGUUGACAAUGAUGGUAUAAUGCUUCCAUUUCUUGGGCACUUACUGUGUGCCCGUUCCUGUGCUUCACGCUCUCCACGACUUCUCUCAGUCACCCCUCACAACUCCGUGACGUGGAUCCUACUGGAAUCUCCACUGCAGACAAGGACAUGGGAGAAGACGGGUUUAUUCUGAAUUAUUUUGGCAGAAGAGUGCUUUUGCUCAGGGGCGUGAGGAAAGGCAGAGGAGUGUGGAGAAGAGCAGAGGGAGGGCAUGCUGUGUGUCCCUGCUGAGCCACAUGCUCGGGAACUAGCCUCAGAGCAGAGGGUCAGACCUAGAAGUGCAAGGACUUGACGUCACAGAGACAUGUGGGCCAAGCCCCUGCUGUGCGGCUCAGAGCUGGGGAGAGCGCCUUGUCUGUACCUGGCACCGAGCCCUCUACUGCCCUGGCAUCCUGAGCACGGGUGGCUUGAGGGCAAUGGGGGGCAGUGCUCUUAGCUGGACACAGAGACAGAAGGAGCAGAACAUGGGAGAUGUGCCUCCAAGUCCACAGGACCCAAAGAUCACUAAGCACCUAGGGAGGCCUGGGGAGACGGAGGUGGUCAUCCUCCAUUAGCUGAUAGGGAUGUGGGCUCUUGGGUUUCUGGGUUCUUGUUAAGGGGACUUCAGCUGACCUCACCUGCUGGGAAGACCUAGCACAUGUGCGUCAUGUUCCUGGCCUCUCUCCCAACCUUUCUACAGCUUUUUAAUACUGUCUUUUCCAAACUUCUCUGUGCUAUUUUGUCAAUUUACCCCUCUCUCUGCUAAGGGUUAUUCUACAUCCACCGGAAAAAAAAAAAAAAAAAAAAAA